RNAcentral lists this ribosomal RNA (283 nucleotides) under uncultured Alistipes sp. Its description in RNAcentral is "partial 16S ribosomal RNA". It matches the Rfam family "Bacterial small subunit ribosomal RNA", at positions 62 to 339 of the family's 1533-position model. The record is from RNAcentral. Lineage: Bacteria; Pseudomonadati; Bacteroidota; Bacteroidia; Bacteroidales; Rikenellaceae.
UCGAGGGGCAGCAUAAUGGAUAGCAAUAUCUAUGGUGGCGACCGGCGCACGGGUGCGUAACGCGUAUGCAACCUACCUUUAACAGGGGGAUAACACUGAGAAAUUGGUACUAAUACCCCAUAACAUCAGGACCGGCAUCGGUUCUGGUUGAAAACUCCGGUGGUUAUGGAUGGACCCGCGUUGGAUUAGCUAGUUGGUGAGGUAACGGCUCACCAAGGCGACGAUACAUAGGGGGACUGAGAGGUUAACCCCCACACUGGUACUGAGACACGGACCAGACUCC